CUGAGUCUUGAUCCACCAGAAGGCUUUCUGUACAUCAGCCAGUUUGCAUGAUGAAGAUUUGGGUCUCGGAAUUCUCCUGUAUGCUUAUGAUUCUUACCAUCAACUUGUUUCCUUGGUAACCCACUCCUGCUAUCUUGAUGAUGGCUUCCUGGGGUCAGGAGAGGUUCCUGAGAGCUGGACUUUUGGCUGGAGCCUUGACCCCACUUUUCCUGAUGAAUGACCUUUAGAGGUGGCUCCAGGUCUGAGGACUAGAGAGCAGAGUGGACACGAGGCUCACCAUGUAGAAAUGUCAUCUUGUAAAGACCUUCUACGACUUCCAGGACCUUGUAUGGGUACCCGUACCAUGGGCAUGCAGCCUGGGGAUGUGUGCUGCAUGUCAGAUAUUUUUCUGAACCACAACCAUGGUGUUUUCGGCUCCAGCACGCAUCACAGGAAGACUUCUGGCCAGGGCAACGUGACACAAACACAUUCAGAGCAGUCUGUUGCUGGCAAAGGAUCCAAGACUUCAAAGAAAACCUAUAAACUUAAUAAAGUUUCUCCUGAAACCUACAACAAAGAAAACAAUGACAAAGGAAUUGCCCACAAUUCUGUGACUCCAAGUGAAUACCACGGAAGAGAUGGCCGCACUGGGCUCUCCUACCAGUUUUUAGAAUUGUGAGACAAUCCAGCAGUAGAAAGAAAACUAAGAAAAUCAACUCUCCGGGCUGCUAUCUGCCUGUUUCAAGCCUGAGAUUUUGUAGAAAUCUAUUUUAUAGAAUCAGCAGAAGCAAGCCAAUAAUGUCUUUAUGCAAUCUACUUGAAAGCAAAAAUAACAAAGAUGCCAGUCAAUACUUUGCAAAUGAUGUUUAUACUAGCCUGAGACUCAUUGUUUGCCAGUGUUUAUUAAUACAACUAAAUAAGAAAUCCUCUCCUCUUAAAGGGAGCACAGAGCUGAUUUCAUGUUGAAGAAAUGCCCACAGUAGUCACAGUACAACUUUCAGAGGACUAAGUCAUCUUUUCUCACAUGCUGAGUCCUGACAUCUAAUGAUCAGCUAACACCAUUUCUGAUGUUUUAGCAUAGAAAGCUUUAUUAUCUUAACACUGGAUGCUAAUAAGACAUUGUUAAUUUCUAAAACAAACAAACAAACAUGGACCUAAAACUUGACUUCCUUAAGAAAUAAAAACACUUUCCUUGAACGCCACAGACUGUACAGAGUGCAAAGUGCUAGCAAAUGAUAAGCAUUCCCUUAUAAAUAUCAAGAUCAAUAUUGAAGUAGCUCAGGAUUGUACUUGACAGGAUUUGAGCUUUAUUGGUAGGAAUCUUAAGGUCUCCCACAGUGGUUUUUGGUGUUGAUAAAGUUGGCAUUUAUUUACGAUUUGAGUUCUUGCCUGGGGGCUGCAGUCAGAAGCAGCAGGAUUUUGUUUAAAGCCAAAGACUUCCUUCAUCCUCAGAAAGCAAGCAAGGAGCUGUGUUUCCUCUCCUCAUUUGUCCUGCAACUGUGAAUUUGUCUCUGGAGCUCUGUUCUGUUGACUUUAGAGAAGCUAUGCAUACACUUGGU
Molecule: long non-coding RNA, 1538 nt
Filed under: Rhinopithecus bieti (black snub-nosed monkey)
Lineage: Eukaryota; Metazoa; Chordata; Mammalia; Primates; Cercopithecidae
Description: lncRNA (ENSRBIG00000045512.1)
Source: RNAcentral